AACGCGAAGAACCUUACCUGGGCUCGAAGUGCUACUGACCAGCGGCAGAAACGUCGCCUUCUCGCAAGAGACAGUAGUAGAGGUGCUGCAUGGCUGUCGUCAGCUCGUGCCGUGAGGUGUUGGGUUAAGUCCCGCAACGAGCGCAACCCUUACUCUUAGUUGCCACCCGCAAGGGGGAACUCUAAGAGGACUGCUCCGGAUAACGGAGAGGAAGGUGGGGAUGACGUCAAGUCAGCACGGCCUUUAUGUCCAGGGCCACACACGUGUUACAAUGCAUGGUACAGACUGUUGCGAUCCCGCGAGGGGGAGCUAAUCGGAGAAAACCAUGCUCAGUUCGGAUUGCAGUCUGCAACUCGACUGCAUGAAGCUGGAAUCGCUAGUAAUGGCGUAUCAGAACGACGCCGUGAAUACGUUCCCGGGCCUUGUACACACCGCAUAC
This 439-nucleotide ribosomal RNA is filed under the name uncultured bacterium. RNAcentral describes it as "bacterial SSU rRNA". It matches the Rfam family "Bacterial small subunit ribosomal RNA", at positions 958 to 1397 of the family's 1533-position model. The record is from RNAcentral.